This 531-nucleotide ribosomal RNA is filed under the name uncultured Comamonadaceae bacterium. RNAcentral describes it as "bacterial SSU rRNA". It matches the Rfam family "Bacterial small subunit ribosomal RNA", at positions 72 to 601 of the family's 1533-position model. The record is from RNAcentral. Lineage: Bacteria; Pseudomonadati; Pseudomonadota; Betaproteobacteria; Burkholderiales; Comamonadaceae.
CACGGGGCAAUCCUGGUGGCGAGUGGCGAACGGGUGAGUAAUAUAUCGGAACGUGCCCAGUCGAGGGGGAUAACGUAGCGAAAGCUACGCUAAUACCGCAUACGAUCUACGGAUGAAAGCGGGGGAUCGCAAGACCUCGCGCGAUUGGAGCGGCCGAUAUCAGAUUAGCUAGUUGGUGGGGUAAAAGCCCACCAAGGCGACGAUCUGUAGCUGGUCUGAGAGGACGACCAGCCACACUGGAACUGAGACACGGUCCAGACUCCUACGGGAGGCAGCAGUGGGGAAUUUUGGACAAUGGGCGAAAGCCUGAUCCAGCAAUGCCGCGUGCAGGACGAAGGCCUUCGGGUUGUAAACUGCUUUUGUACGGAACGAAACGGUCUCUUUUAAUACAGGGGGCUAAUGACGGUACCGUAAGAAUAAGCACCGGCUAACUACGUGCCAGCAGCCGCGGUAAUACGUAGGGUGCAAGCGUUAAUCGGAAUUCUGGGCGUAAAGCGUGCGCAGGCGGUUAUAUAAGACAGAUGUGAAAUC